CGGACGGGAUAACCGCUGAAAGCAUCUAAGCGGGAAACCCUCCCCAAGAUUAGAUUUCCCCAGGGACUUGAUCCCUCUGAAGGGCCCUCGAAGACUACGAGGUUGAUAGGUCGGGUGUGUAAGUCCAGUAAUGGAUUCAGCUAACCGAUACUAAUUGCCCGUGCGGCUUGGCCAUAUAACACCCAAGCAG
Molecule: ribosomal RNA, 190 nt
Filed under: Gammaproteobacteria bacterium PRO2
Lineage: Bacteria; Pseudomonadati; Pseudomonadota; Gammaproteobacteria
Description: partial 23S ribosomal RNA
Rfam family: Bacterial large subunit ribosomal RNA
Source: RNAcentral